GAUGAACGCUGGCGGCGUGCCUAAUACAUGCAAGUCGAGCGAACAGAUGAUGAGCUUGCUCCUCUGACGUUAGCGGCGGACGUGUGAGUAACACGUGGAUAACCUACUUAUAUGACUGGUAUAACUUCGGGAAACCGGAUCUAAUACCGGAGAAUAUAUUGAACCGCAGUGUUGAAUAGUGAAAUACGGUGGUGCGGUCUGUUAUAGAUGGAUCCGCGCCGCAUUAUCUAGUUGGUAAGGUAACGGCUUACCAAGGCAAAGAUGCGUAGGCGAAGUGAGGGGGUGAUAGGCCGCACUAGAACUGAGACACGGUCCUGAGUACUGCGGGAGGCACCAGUAGGGAAUGUUACGCAAUGGGCGGAAGCAUGACGGAGCAAGGCCACGUGAGAGAUGACGGUCUUGGGAUCGUAAAAAUCUGUUAUUAGGGAAAAACCAAUGUGUAAGUAACUGUGCCCGUAUUGACGGUAACUAAUCAGAAAGCCACGGCUAACUACGUG
RNAcentral lists this ribosomal RNA (497 nucleotides) under uncultured bacterium. Its description in RNAcentral is "partial 16S ribosomal RNA". It matches the Rfam family "Bacterial small subunit ribosomal RNA", at positions 28 to 507 of the family's 1533-position model. The record is from RNAcentral.